RNAcentral lists this ribosomal RNA (264 nucleotides) under uncultured prokaryote. RNAcentral's name for it is "partial 16S ribosomal RNA". It matches the Rfam family "Bacterial small subunit ribosomal RNA", at positions 524 to 788 of the family's 1533-position model. The record is from RNAcentral.
UACGUAGGGGGCUAGCGUUAUCCGGAAUUACUGGGCGUAAAGGGUGCGUAGGUGGUUUCUUAAGUCAGAGGUGAAAGGCUACGGCUCAACCGUAGUAAGCCUUUGAAACUGGGAGACUUGAGUGCAGAAGAGGAGAGUGGAAUUCCAUGUGUAGCGGUGAAAUGCGCAGAGAUAUGGAGGAACACCAGUGGCGAAGGCGGCUCUCUGGUCUGUAACUGACGCUGAUGUGCGAAAGCGUGGGGAUCAAACAGGAUUAGAUACCCU